This 447-nucleotide ribosomal RNA is filed under the name Compsomyiops fulvicrura. Its description in RNAcentral is "partial 16S ribosomal RNA". It matches the Rfam family "Bacterial large subunit ribosomal RNA", at positions 1922 to 2578 of the family's 2925-position model. The record is from RNAcentral. Lineage: Eukaryota; Metazoa; Arthropoda; Insecta; Diptera; Calliphoridae.
UUUAAAUGGCCGCAGUAUACUAACUGUGCAAAGGUAGCAUAAUCAUUAGUCUUUUAAUUGAAGGCUGGUAUGAAUGGUUGGACGAGAUAUUAACUGUUUCAUAAAAAUUUAUAAUAGAAUUUUAUUUUUUAGUCAAAAAGCUAAAAUAUAUUUAAAAGACGAGAAGACCCUAUAAAUCUUUAUAUUUAGAUUAUUAUAAUUUUAUAGAUUUUUUUUGUUAUAAUAAUUGAUGAUAUUUUAUUGGGGUGAUAUUAAAAUUUAAUAAACUUUUAAUUGUUUAAAUCAUUAAUUUAUGAAUAAUUGAUCCGUUAUUAGCGAUUAAAAAAACAAGUUACUUUAGGGAUAACAGCGUAAUUUUUUUGGAGAGUUCAUAUCGAUAAAAAAGAUUGCGACCUCGAUGUUGGAUUAAGAUAUAAUUUUAGGUGUAGCCGCUUAAAUUUUAAGUCU